AGAAUCAACGCUGGCGGCGUGCCUAACACAUGCAAGUCGAACGAGAACGGGUAGCAAUACCUUAGUAAAGUGGCGCACGGGUGAGUAACACGUGACUAACCUACCCUGGAGUGGGGGAUAACUGAGAGAAAUCUUAGCUAAUACCGCAUAACACCUACGGGUCAAAGGAGCAAUUCGCUUCAGGAGGGGUCGCGGCAGAUUAGAUAGUUGGCGGGGUAAUGGCCCACCAAGUCAGUGAUCUGUA
RNAcentral lists this ribosomal RNA (244 nucleotides) under uncultured bacterium. Its description in RNAcentral is "partial small subunit ribosomal RNA". It matches the Rfam family "Bacterial small subunit ribosomal RNA", at positions 26 to 285 of the family's 1533-position model. The record is from RNAcentral.